Molecule: ribosomal RNA, 878 nt
Filed under: uncultured Candidatus Saccharibacteria bacterium
Lineage: Bacteria; Candidatus Saccharimonadota
Description: bacterial SSU rRNA
Rfam family: Bacterial small subunit ribosomal RNA
Source: RNAcentral
AGAGUUUGAUCCUGGCUCAGGAUGAACGCUGGCGGCAUGCCUAACACAUGCAAGUCGAUCGGUAAGGCUCUUCGGAGUACACGAGAGGCGGACGGCUGAGUAACGCGUAGGAACACACCCUGCAGUGAGGGAUAAGACACCGAAAGGUGUUCUAAUACCGCAUACGGUCUUCGGAUUAAAGCAUUUAUGCGCUGAAGGAGUGGCCUGCGUCAUAUUAGAUAGUUGGUGAGGUAAUGGCUUACCAAGUCGAUGAUGUGUAGCUGGUCUGAGAGGAUGAUCAGCCAGACUGGAACUGAGACACGGUCCAGACUCCUACGGGAGGCAGCAGUGAGGAAUAUUUCACAAUGAGCGAAAGCUUGAUGGAGCAAUGCCGCGUGCAGGAUGAAGGCCCUCGGGUUGUAAACUGCUUUUAUAAGAGAAGAUUAUGACGGUAACUUAUGAAUAAGGGACGGCUAACUACGUGCCAGCAGCUGCGGUCAUACGUAGGUCCCGAGCGUUAUCCGGAGUGACUGGGCGUAAAGAGUUGCGUAGGCGGUCAAGUUAGCGAGCGAUGAAAACUAUCGGCUCAACCGAUAGCUUGUUGUUCGAACUGCUUGACUCGAGAGUAUCAGAGGUCGCUGGAAUUCCUAGUGUAGCAGUGAAAUGCGUAGAUAUUAGGAAGAACACCGAUGGCGUAGGCAGGCGACUGGGAUAUUUCUGACGCUAAGGCACGAAAGCGUGGGUAGCGAACCGGAUUAGAUACCCGGGUAGUCCACGCCGUAAACGAUGGAUGCUAAUUGUUUGAGGUAUCGACCCCUCGAGUAAUAAAGCUAACGCGUUAAGCAUCCCGCCUGUGGAGUACGGCCGCAAGGCUAAAACAUAAAGGAAUUGACGGGGAC